This 266-nucleotide ribosomal RNA is filed under the name uncultured bacterium. RNAcentral describes it as "partial 16S ribosomal RNA". It matches the Rfam family "Bacterial small subunit ribosomal RNA", at positions 793 to 1055 of the family's 1533-position model. The record is from RNAcentral.
GUCCACGCUGUAAACGAUGAGCACUAGGUGUCGUGGGUAUUGACCCCCGCGGUGCCGUAGCUAACGCAUUAAGUGCUCCGCCUGGGGACUACGGCCGCAAGGCUAAAACUCAAAGGAAUUGACGGGGGCCCGCACAAGCGGUGGAGCAUGUGGUUCAAUUCGACGCAACGCGAAGAACCUUACCUGGGGCUAGACAACGGAGGACCGCUCCAGAGAUGGGGCUUUCCCUUCGGGGACCUCCGGUUCAGGUGCUGCAUGGCUGUCGU